RNAcentral lists this ribosomal RNA (503 nucleotides) under uncultured bacterium. RNAcentral's name for it is "partial 16S ribosomal RNA". It matches the Rfam family "Bacterial small subunit ribosomal RNA", at positions 30 to 523 of the family's 1533-position model. The record is from RNAcentral.
AUUGAACGUUGGCGGCAGGCUUAACACAUGCAAGUCGAGCGGGGUGAUGGUGCUUGCACUAUCACUUAGCGGCGGACGGGUGAGUAAUGCUUAGGAAUCUGCCUAUUAGUGGGGGACAACAUCUCGAAAGGGAUGCUAAUACCGCAUACGUCCUACGGGAGAAAGCAGGGGAUCACUUGUGACCUUGCGCUAAUAGAUGAGCCUAAGGCGGAUUAGCUAGUUGGUGGGGUAAAGGCCUACCAAGGCGACGAUCUGUAGCGGGUCUGAGAGGAUGAUCCGCCACACUGGGACUGAGACACGGCCCAGACUCCCACGGGAGGCAGCAGUGGGGAAUAUUGGACAAUGGGGGGUACCCUGAUCCAGCCAUGCCGCGUGUGUGAAGAAGGCCUUAUGGUUGUAAAGCACUUUAAGCGAGGAGGAGGCUCUUUUGGUUAAUACCCAAGAUGAGUGGACGUUACUCGCAGAAUAAGCACCGGCUAACUCUGUGCCAGCAGCCGCCGUAA